AGGGGGUACUAGUAUAAAGUGGAAUGGGGUUUAGGUUAAAAAUGAAAAUCAAUCUUGCCCCCUUUUAACAUAAACCCUAGCUAGUUCCUCAGGGAAGGGCCAUGGAACAUAUGCUGGUGCUAGCCACUGAUCGGAAUCAACAAUCAACGCAAACAUUCAUAAAUCUCCGCAUAUGUAAGAAAAACUCUCAUUAAUGCACAUAUUCGAGAUGAAGGAUCGAGCCUUUGGUUGGGACCGAGCUUCACAAUUUGGAACUCAAGUUAUGCCCAUUUACGAAUUCCGAGCUGAGGGAUCGAGCCUUAGGUAUAAUUGAGCUUCACUAUGCGAUUUGGACCUCCAACUUAGGCCUAUUUUUGAGCUCAGGGAUAGAGCCUCAGGUAGAACCGAGCUUUUCUUGGCGAUUUGAAAUUGGUGCUUGUCGGGAAAGCUUUUUAAUGAUUCAUUCUUAACAAUACGUACUCGAUUAUCCAUAAUUCUCCAUUGCAUAUGUUUGUUUCUAAAUAACCAGUUUGUUUUAUUGUGGCAAAGCAAAGAUAUGUUUUAUUUACUCUUUUGAUAUAGGAGUAGUUGAACCAAACCAACACUUUUCCCAAACAUAUGUUAGAAGAAAUAAUAUAUUGGUUAUUUGUAAAGGUUAUACCCUGUAGCAAAACAUGAACAUAAAGGUUGAUUUUUGGCUUUUUGCCGAUUUCACAGUGAAAGGUACGAAGUGUAGUUUGGGUAUAAGAUAAAGGUUGAUUUAUGCAAUUUACUUUAAUUAAUAAUAAUUUGCA
Molecule: long non-coding RNA, 773 nt
Filed under: Helianthus annuus (common sunflower)
Lineage: Eukaryota; Viridiplantae; Streptophyta; Magnoliopsida; Asterales; Asteraceae
Source: RNAcentral